This 536-nucleotide ribosomal RNA is filed under the name uncultured bacterium. RNAcentral's name for it is "bacterial SSU rRNA". It matches the Rfam family "Bacterial small subunit ribosomal RNA", at positions 8 to 526 of the family's 1533-position model. The record is from RNAcentral.
AGAGUUUGAUCAUGGCUCAGGACGAACGCUGGCGGCGUGCCUAAUACAUGCAAGUCGAACGAACGGAUAAAGAGCUUGCUCUUUUGAAGUUAGUGGCGGACGGGUGAGUAACACGUGGGUAACCUGCCUCACAGCUGGGGAUAACAUCGAGAAAUCGAUGCUAAUACCGAAUGUGCUGAACAUCAUAAGAUGUUCAAGUGAAAGACGGUUUCGGCUGUCACUGUGAGAUGGACCCGCGCUGGAUUAGCUAGUUGGUAAGGUAAUGGCUUACCAAGGCGACGAUCCAUAGCCGACCUGAGAGGGUGAUCGGCCACAUUGGGACUGAGACACGGCCCAAACUCCUACGGGAGGCAGCAGUAGGGAAUCUUCGGCAAUGGACGAAAGUCUGACCGAGCAACGCCGCGUGAGCGAAGAAGGCCUUCGGGUCGUAAAGCUCUGUUGUUAGAGAAGAACAUGGGUGAGAGUAACUGUUCACCCCUUGACGGUAUCUAACCAGAAAGCCACGGCUAACUACGUGCCAGCCGCCGCGGUAAUAC